Molecule: ribosomal RNA, 328 nt
Filed under: uncultured eukaryote
Lineage: Eukaryota
Description: partial 18S ribosomal RNA
Rfam family: Eukaryotic small subunit ribosomal RNA
Source: RNAcentral
CCCUUAGAUGUCCUGGGCCGCACGCGCGUUACACUGAUGCAUUCAACGAGCUUAUAACCUUGGCCGAGAGGCCUGGGCAAUCUUGUUAACGUGCAUCGUGAUAGGGAUAGAUUAUUGAAAUUAUUAAUCUUGAACUAGGAAUUCCUAGUAAACGCAGAUCAUCAAUCUGCAUUGAUUACGUCCCUGCCCUUUGUACACACCGCCCGUCGCACCUACCGAUUGGAUGGUCCGGUGAAGCCUCGGGAUUGUGGUUCUUGCCGCUUUAUUGUGGCGUGACCGCGAGAACUUGUCUAAACCUUAUCAUCUAGAGGAAGGUGAAGUCGUAACA